RNAcentral lists this small nucleolar RNA (131 nucleotides) under Octodon degus (degu). Lineage: Eukaryota; Metazoa; Chordata; Mammalia; Rodentia; Octodontidae. The record is from RNAcentral.
GUGCAAACUCGAUCACUAGCUCUGCAUGAUGUGGCAGGAGCUAAGGGAGUCAGGUUUGCUAAAGUAAUAGUGGUGAUAGAAUGUACUAGCCUCAGAACCUUCUGAGGUGCCCUUUCUGUCCUCACACAGUG